CGAGGCUGUCAAAGGCUUCGGCUCAAAGAGGGGUUCGCGUCCUAUCAGGUAGUUGGUGGGGUAAUGGCCUACCAAGCCAAUGACGGGUAGCUGGUCUUAGAGGAUGAUCAGCCACAGUGGGACUGAGACACGGCCCGCACCCCUACGGGGGGCAGCAGUGGGGAAUCGUGGGCAAUGGGCGCAAGCCUGACCCCGCAAUGCCGCGUGAGGGAAGAAGCCCUUCGGGGUGUAAACCUCUGUCAGAUGGGAAGAUGGGACUAGAAGCUAAUACCUCCUAGUCUUGACGGUACCAUCAGAGGAAGGGACGGCUAACUACGUGCCAGCAGCCGCGGUAAUACGUAGGUCCCGAGCGUUGCGCGAUGUUACUGGGCGUAAAGCGUCCGUAGCUGGUUUCGUAAGCGGAUUGUCAAAGCCCGAAGCUCAACUUCGGCAAGGCAUUCCGAACUGCGUUACUUGAGUCCUGUUCAGGUAGGCGGAAUUCCCGGUGUAGCGGUGAAAUGCGUAGAUAUCGGGAGGAACACCAGUGGCGAAGGCGGCCUACUGGGACGGUACUGACGGUCAUGGACGAAAGCUGGGGGAGCAACCGGAUUAGAUACCCGGGUAGUCCCAGCCGUAAACGAUGGAUGUUAGGUGUAGUGAUAACUUCGCUGCACCCCAGCUAACGCGUUAAACAUCCCGCCUGGGGAGUACGGGCGCAAGCCUGAAACUCAAAGGAAUUGGCGGGGGCCCGCACAACCGGUGGAGCGUCUGGUUUAAUUCGAUGCUAACCGAAAAACCUUACCAGGGUUUGAAAUGGUAGGAAAGGCUGUCGAAAGAUAGCCGUGUUUCCCUUUUGGGAGAAAUCCUACCACAGGUGGUGCAUGGCCGUCGUCAGCUCGUGUUGUGAGAUGUUGGGUUAAGUCCCGCAACGAGCGCAACCCUUGUCCUUAUUUGCUUCCUCGUAUGAGGUGCUCUAUAAGGAGACUGCCGGCGACAAGCCGGAGGAAGGAGGGGACGACGUCAGGUCAGUAUGCCCUUUAUGCCCUGGGCUACACAGGCGC
Molecule: ribosomal RNA, 1040 nt
Filed under: uncultured Hydrogenobaculum sp.
Lineage: Bacteria; Pseudomonadati; Aquificota; Aquificia; Aquificales; Aquificaceae
Description: bacterial SSU rRNA
Rfam family: Bacterial small subunit ribosomal RNA
Source: RNAcentral